GAUGAAGAACGUAGCGAAAUGCGAUAAGUAGUGUGAAUUGCAGAAUUCAGUGAAUCAUCGAAUCUUUGAACGCACAUUGCGCCCUUUGGUAUUCCUUAGGGCAUGCCUGUUCGAGCGUCAUUUAAACCUUCAAGCUAAGCUUGGUGUUGGGUGACUGUCCGCUUCACGGCGGACUCGCCUCAAAAUUAUUGGCGGCCGGUACAUUGGCUUCGAGCGCAGCAGAAACGCGAACUCGGGCCCGUCGUAUUGGCUCCCAGAAGCUAUCUUCACAAUUUUGACCUCGGAUUAGGUAGGGAUACCCGCUGAACUUAAGCAUAUCAAUAAGCGGAGGA
RNAcentral lists this unclassified non-coding RNA (332 nucleotides) under soil metagenome. Its description in RNAcentral is "partial contains 5.8S ribosomal RNA, internal transcribed spacer 2, and large subunit ribosomal RNA". The stretch from base 1 to 120 matches the Rfam family "5.8S ribosomal RNA", at positions 35 to 154 of the family's 154-position model. The record is from RNAcentral.